CUUGGGAAGUUUUCUGCCAUCACUUCUGUGAAGAGUUUUUUAUGUCAUCUGCACUCUCUCCUCUUUCUUCAUUGACUCCAAUCAGUCUUAUGUUAUUCUUCUUUGCAUCGUCUAGCAGCUGCUGGUUUGAUUUGUCAUGUUUCCUUACAAUUUUAAAGCAAUUUUUCUUCUCCUGGUUACUAAUUGCAAUCUUAUCUUCUAUAUCUGAAAUUCUAUCCUCACAUUGGUUCAUUUUGCUCUGCAGACUUUUGAUGGAGUUUUUAAUCUCCUGGAAAUCUGUUUGCAUCUGUUUUAUGGAUUCCAUUUGUUUCCUGUGUUGGGACUCCAUCAUGUUCCUCAGAUCCUCUAUUUUUUUAUCUGUGUCAUCUCUAGAUUUAUUAAUCAUGUCUUGCACCAUAAGCAAAAUCUUUGCUGUUAUCUGAGUAAUUAUUUCUGAUUUCAUUUUUCCUGGAUCCUCUUUUGUUGCCAGUUCAGAGAGUCCAGGUGGUUGAGUAUCAGAUUGUUCCAUCUUGUUUCCCUUUGGGAUUGCUGUAGGUGAUCCAGAAGAUUGUUAUUGAGGCUUGUUUAUGUGUCUUCUCAUUUCCAUGGGGCGGGGGGGGCGUUGUGCUUCUGGCACCCGCGCAGCUCACCUUCUCUGCCCUAGGAGCUUGGGAUGGCGGUGGGGGAGCUUCCAUCUGGGUGCUGGGACCAGCUCAGCUUCUCUGCCACCUUCUAGGACUUUUUAGUGGAACUAAAUCAGGCUCUGAACCCAGAGAUGAAAGUUGAUCACCCACAGAGUUUCCUAGGCCACCCUAAUGGAGUGUCUUAUUUGGAAGUGAUCAUCCGCCCUGUGGUGUUCAAUGGUCACUGGUGAUGACAAAACCUUGCCUGCCCACAAGCCCUUGCUGUGCUUCCAUCUGCAGCAGGAUUUGCAAGACGGUCAUCAAUAUACAAAGUUCUACACUGUCUCCGCCGUGCAGGACUCCCACAACAGGAAGAGAAGGAUGAAAGGAGAAGCAGCUCAUGGAAGAAGAAAGUUAUUGAUGAAAAUAUUUGCAAAGAGGAAUGUUCUGAAAUGAUAUGAGUUGCAUAACUGAACAUGAGCAGAACGGGAACUGGGUGCUGCUUUCCGAAGUGUCCUCUCACUGUUCUGCUGAAUUUUGGGUCUGCUCAGCUUUGGAGGAGCAGCUGAUGGUGAGGAGAGGACAUUUGGACAUGGGUACCUCCCUGCCUUGAGAAUCUUUUGCAGUGGAGAAGGGGAGUAAGCUGCAGUGGGAUCAGUUUAGCACCUGAACUUCUCAUUCCCUGCCACAUUCCCCCUUUCCUCCUCCCACCUUUCCUAACUUCUGAAACAGACUCUGAGCUGAGAUCCAUUCCCAUUUGCUCUUACUCUGGAGAGCGUUCUUAAGAUAUUUUCAUCUGUUUCUCAU
Long non-coding RNA from Heterocephalus glaber (naked mole-rat), 1409 nucleotides. Lineage: Eukaryota; Metazoa; Chordata; Mammalia; Rodentia; Bathyergidae. The record is from Ensembl.